GAUGAACGCUGGCGGCGUGCCUAAUACAUGCAAGUCGAGCGAACAGACGAGGAGCUUACUCCUCUGACGUUAGCGGCGGACGGGUGAGUAACACGUGGAUAACCUACCUAUAAGACUGGGAUAACUUCGGGAAACCGGAGCGAAUACCGGAUAACAUGUUGAACCGCAUGGUUCAACAGUGAAAGACGGUCUUGCUGUCACUUAUAGAUGGAUCCGCGUCGCAUUAGCUAGUUGGUAAGGUAACGGCUUACCAAGGCAACGAUGCGUAGCCGACCUGAGAGGGUGAUCGGCCACACUGGAACUGAGCCACGGUCCAGACUCCUACGGGAGGAAGCAGUAGGGAAUCUUCGGAAAUGGGCGAAAGCCUGCCGGAGAAAGGCCGCGUGAGUGAAGAAGGUCUUCGGAUCGUAAAACUCUGUUAUCAGGGCAGAACAAAUGUGUACGUAAAUAUGCACGUAUUGACGGUACCGAAUCAGAAAGCCACGGCUAACUACGUG
RNAcentral lists this ribosomal RNA (497 nucleotides) under uncultured bacterium. RNAcentral's name for it is "partial 16S ribosomal RNA". It matches the Rfam family "Bacterial small subunit ribosomal RNA", at positions 28 to 507 of the family's 1533-position model. The record is from RNAcentral.